GACGAACGCUGGCGGCGUGCUUAACACAUGCAAGUCGAACGGAAAGGCCCCUUUGGGGGUCCUCGAGUGGCGCACGGGUGCGUAACACGUGAGUAACCUGCCCUUGACUUCGGGAUAACUUCAGGAAACUGGGGCUAAUACCGGAUAGGAAUCCUUGCUGCAUGGUGGGGGUUGGAAAGCUUCGGCGGCUUUGGAUGGACUCGCGGCUUAUCAGCUUGUUGGUGGGGUAGUGGCUUACCAAGGCUUUGACGGGUAGCCGGCCUGAGAGGGCGACCGGCCACACUGGGACUGAGAGACGGCCCAGACGCCUACUGGAGGCAGCAGUGGGGAAUAUUGCACAAUGGGCGGAAGCCUGAUGCAGCAGCGCCGCGGGCGGGAUGACGGCCUUCGGGUUGUAAACCGCUUUCAGCAGGGGCGAAGCUUGUGGUGACGGUACCUGCAGAAGAAGCACCGGCUAACUACGUG
This 465-nucleotide ribosomal RNA is filed under the name uncultured bacterium. RNAcentral's name for it is "partial 16S ribosomal RNA". It matches the Rfam family "Bacterial small subunit ribosomal RNA", at positions 28 to 507 of the family's 1533-position model. The record is from RNAcentral.